Molecule: long non-coding RNA, 2810 nt
Filed under: Cricetulus griseus (Chinese hamster)
Lineage: Eukaryota; Metazoa; Chordata; Mammalia; Rodentia; Cricetidae
Description: lncRNA (ENSCGRG00015035052.1)
Source: RNAcentral
AAGCAUUUAAUGCUCCUUUACAUACUUCCCAAAUGUAAAUCAUGAGAAAAGCAUAGACUGUCUUCCGUGAAAUGUUCAAGAAAUUCUAAAUGAAAGUCAUUUUUAUAAAUAUGUUGGCUGCAUAGUUUUGACUUAACCUUAUCUAAAUCAUACCAUUAAGUCUGUAAAACUUCUAAAUAAUACCAAUAAUCUUUGUGAGAAAAAGUUUCAUGAUUGUUCUACAGUAAAUUCAACAGAAUUGGAUUCUCCCACAGUAAAUUCUAAUUAAAUGCUAAAUAGCAAUAGGCCAUCAACACAUAACUAAAAUCUCACCCAGCAUGCCAGGGUGCUGCUCUUACUUGAUUUUCACCUGUAUGAUUAGAACAUUCCCUGUCUUCACAUGUGAUAAACUAUAUGUAUACGUGUGUAUGUAUGUACAUAUGUAUGUCUUGUGUGUUGCUGGCACAGCCCUGACACUAAUUAGGAUGUGCUCUAUCACAUAUCUGGAGAGUUUAUCCCACUAGUGUGAUGAGCUUGUGUCAUAACAGCAGAAUUAAGCCAUUCUCCAUCAGUUUCAUUUGGUAAUUAUGGGAUGCCUUCCUGGGCUGCUUUCAUUUAGUUUUCUCAAUGAAUACAUUCAGAUUUUAAAUUGUGUUCAUAAUUCUCCCAGUUGAAAAACAAUGCUGUCUGAAGAUGCCUUUGUUAUACUUGAGACUCGGUGCAUAUUCAGUCUGAGAAAAGGAAUGGAAACAGGUGCACUACUCAGUGUAUGUCAAGGAAGAGAGAAAGCCAAAAGCAACAAAAGAGGAACCCCGAGCCUGGCUGGCAGGCAAGGUGACCUCCCAGGGCAUUAUUCCUGACAGGGCAUCAAGCAAGCUGAAAACACUACUGCAAGGACUUCACAUUAUGAAAUCAGCACAGAACACAGGAAAAUUAUCAUUUUUAUCUGGAAUUAGGAAAAAAUGUUAAAAAUCAUGGUCCAGAAGAGAAAGAACAUCUGCAUGGUUUUUUAAAUCCUAUUUUUGCUCAUUUUCAAGCCUUUUUUACUUUUGUUUUUUACAUUUUAUCUCUAAAUAUUUGUGUUUUAUUGUUUUUUUUCAAGUUUUUUUUAAACUUAACUGAGAAAUAUUUGUUCAGAUCUUAAUAUCAGGUGAAAUUGGAAGUACAAUCUUGUUUAAAAUGUAAUAUUAAAGAUCAUUCCACUUAGUAUUCAUUUAUUCUAAUAUGUACUUUUCCUAAGGAUUGUCACUGAUAUUCUGUAGGUUUUGUUUUAAGAUAUAGGAGCUGGGCAUAGUAACUCAUGCCUGUAAUCCUAUAAUUUGGGAGAGUGGGCAGAAAGACCUUGAGUUCAAGGCCAACCUGGGCUACAGGGUAAGUCCCUGUUUCUAAAUAAAGUAUUCUGGUUAUUUUUAGUCACCUUAUAUGUGUUAUAAAGGUUGGUGACUGCCCCUCAUCAGACUUCUAUGCUAACCUGGGAUAGGAAAAUAUGGUGUUGUCACCUGUUCAACAAUCAUGUUGCAUUUACAUGCCUUAUGUUUUCUGGGGGUGUUUGAAAUCCAACCUGAUAAAUAUACUAUCAUAAGUAGGGUUUUUAUUUCUCAUUCAAGCACUUUCCAUCAUAAGGGUGGUUGAAAUUAACAUGUCUCUUAGGUUCUGAACCAGUUCAAAGGUACUCCUCUUACUCAAGUACAGUACAAAAUAAUUCAAGACAGAGAUCCGUCACUAUAGCUGUCUGUGGAUCUCUAUAACUGUUUGAUCAUCCAAUUCAUGAAAGGAGUAAAGAGUUGUUUUUCCAAAGUGAAAAUGCUUAAACCUUGGUUUUAUGUCCAAAACUAUCCAUACUGCCUCAAAAUCUUACAGUUCUUCACGGAUUCCAAUGGUCUUAAGGGGGCGGGAGCCCCAGCGUGUGAAGUUGUGUCUCUUUGCACCUCACUUUGCUUGCUCCUGUACAGAUGUCUUUCUGUUCAUCUGUCCAUGUACUUGAGGACCUCUUCCCCACCCAUGGAUGUCUCCCCAGCUAUUCUCUCUGUGCCAGAUCUGCAGGAUACCCCACCUCUCCCAGCACCAAUCACCAGCCAUGGUGGAACCACUGACUCUGGAGUGACCACCUCUAAUUCCCUGCUUUUCAGGCCUCCAAGCAAAGGUCACACACUGACCUGGAAGCCGACUUUGUACAUUCCUGACACUCCUCGAUGUUUUCUGUGAACCUGACAUAAAAUUCCUCAUUACUGAGGCCUUUCAACUUCUUUUGUAACGCAGGCUUCGGUUGCUCUCUCUCUUCCUGAAGCUGGUCUAGAAUAUCAAUUCCUAGCUAGUGAAGAUGCUAUGUGAAAUGCCUGCAGUGUUGAGUCCGGGGCUCCAAUCCAUGUAUCUGAAGGGAGACAAAAAAAUAACAUUUAAAUGAAGUAUUGUGAGUAGCUUCCUAAUUCUGUUCAUCUCUCAAAAGUGUACUCCCAGCUUGGAGUCUCUUAAGACAGUGGUUCCCAACCCUCCUGAUGCUGUGACCCUUUAAUGUAGUUCCUCAUGUUGUGGUGACCCCAAACCAUAAAAGUAUUUCGUUGCCACUUCAUAACUGACUUUGCUACUAUUAUGAAUUGUAAUAUAAAUAUCUGAUAUGCAGAAUAUCUGGUAUAUGACCCUUUUGGGGUUGCAUAGGUUGAGAACCCCUGUCUUAAAGUGUAAACAGUAAAUGUGUAUAAAUGAGGACAAUUAAGUCAAGUAUUAAGCUUGUUCUUUAGAUAUUUUCUUUGUAACUCAAGAGUAAGCCAAGUUCGUGGAGAAUGUAGUGUGGUCAUGAAAGAUGUAUUCUGUAAGCCAGGAGAAGCAGCCUU